CCUACGGGUGGCUGCAGUGGGGAAUCUUCCGCAAUGGGCGAAAGCCUGACGGAGCAACGCCGCGUGAUCGAAUGAAGGCCUGCGGGUUGUAAAGAUCUGUUGACAGGGACGAAGAAGCCAUGCGAAUAGGUUGGUGUAUGACGGUACCUGUUGAGAAAGCGCCGGCUAACUACGGGCCAGCAGCCGCGGUGAUACGUAGGGAGCAAGCGUUGGCCGGAAUUACUGGGCGUAAAGGGCGCGUAGGUGGGUGCUUAAGUCAGGGGGGACAACUCUGGGCUCAACCUGGCGACUGCACUUGAAACUGGGUAUCUUGAGUGCAGGAGAGGCAAGUGGAAUUCCUAGUGUAGCGGU
Molecule: ribosomal RNA, 351 nt
Filed under: uncultured bacterium
Lineage: Bacteria
Description: partial 16S ribosomal RNA
Rfam family: Bacterial small subunit ribosomal RNA
Source: RNAcentral